RNAcentral lists this ribosomal RNA (434 nucleotides) under uncultured bacterium. RNAcentral's name for it is "bacterial SSU rRNA". It matches the Rfam family "Bacterial small subunit ribosomal RNA", at positions 29 to 507 of the family's 1533-position model. The record is from RNAcentral.
AACGAACGCUGGCGGCAGGCUUAACACAUGCAAGUCGAACGUCUUCGCAAGAGGGCGUGGCAGACGGGUGCGUAACGCGUGGGAACAUACCUCUCGGGUUCGGAAUAACCCAGGGAAACAUGGGACAAUACCGGAUACGUGCGAAAGCAGAAAGAUUUAUCGCCGAGAGAUUGGCCCGCGUCCGAUUAGCUGGUUGGUGAGGUAACGGCUCACCAAGGCGACGAUCGGUAGCUGGUCUGAGAGGAUGAUCAGCCACACUGGGACUGAGACACGGCCCAGACUCCUACGGGAGGCAGCAGUGGGGAAUAUUGGACAAUGGGCGCAAGCCUGAUCCAGCCAUGCCGCGUGAGUGAUGAAGGCCCUAGGGUUGUAAAGCUCUUUCGCCAGGGACGAUAAUGACGGUACCUGGAUAAGAAGCCCCGGCUAACUUCGUG